RNAcentral lists this ribosomal RNA (429 nucleotides) under Actinomycetes bacterium. Its description in RNAcentral is "Actinobacteria bacterium partial 16S ribosomal RNA". It matches the Rfam family "Bacterial small subunit ribosomal RNA", at positions 355 to 776 of the family's 1533-position model. Lineage: Bacteria; Bacillati; Actinomycetota; Actinomycetes. The record is from RNAcentral.
UAGGGAAUCUUCCGCAAUGGGCGAAAGCCUGACGGAGCAACGCCGCGUGAGUGAUGAAGGUCUUCGGAUCGUAAAACUCUGUUAUUAGGGAAGAACAAAUGUGUAAGUAACUAUGCACGUCUUGACGGUACCUAAUCAGAAAGCCACGGCUAACUACGUGCCAGCAGCCGCGGUAAUACGUAGGUGGCAAGCGUUAUCCGGAAUUAUUGGGCGUAAAGCGCGCGUAGGCGGUUUUUUAAGUCUGAUGUGAAAGCCCACGGCUCAACCGUGGAGGGUCAUUGGAAACUGGAAAACUUGAGUGCAGAAGAGGAAAGUGGAAUUCCAUGUGUAGCGGUGAAAUGCACAGAGAUAUGGAGGAACACCAGUGGCGAAGGCGACUUUCUGGUCUGUAACUGACGCUGAUGUGCGAAAGCGUGGGGAUCAAACAGG